AGACUAGAGAGAUUUUUGUUGCGUAGAAUCCACGCAGUGAAUAAACAAGCCAUUAGCAAUAUACAUAACAAUGUGAGACUCUCUUCUCAAUAUCACUUCACAAUUUGGAUGUGCUUUCAUUAUAUGUGGUUCUUGCUCCUCUUAAAGUUAUCUCUCUGUUGCCAGAUGAUUUGAAAAUUGCAUGUGACUUUGGAGUUCUAUUUCAAUUCAACCUGAUGCAAUUCUUAUUUGAGCCUCUGAAAAAAAAAAAGGUGACAGAAUGAUAUAUGUUUGACUUUUGCAGCCUGAUGAACUUAGUUGCAAUGACUCUAAACAAAUUAUUUUGCUAUGAUGGUUUUUGGUUCAUUUGCUAAGUGGAUCAAACAAAAAAGUUGUCCCUUGAAAAAGUUUCUAAUGAUUUGUUGAUGGUAAAGUUGUGGGACAAUGUUCCUAAUUCUUGUAACCCAAGAAAAUUGAAAUGUGAUGAUUUAUUUGAUUCUUUAUUUUUAUAAAAUUCAAGUAUAACGAAAAAUGAUAUACUUGCCUAAAAUGAUUAUAUCGUGAUGUAUAUUGACUCUUGCCUCCAUAAAUGAAAAAUUUUUGGAAGCGUAAUUUGUUGGAGCCAAUAUGAUCUUGCAAAAUCAAAUUUUGGUGAAGGAUUUUAGUCCAUAUGACACUUUUUAAUUUAAAUAUGGAAGUGGGAAUGGGAUAGAACGCGGUUAUGAAGCGUAUAGGUGCUUUACGUGAGUGUGGUGUCAGGAUCGAAAAAAUCAGACGAUCCGAGUUCAAGGUAAAUAAUCGGACGGUCGAUAUAAGGUGCACAAAUAAAAUCAUCCAAUGUGUGUCCUCCCUAUCACGUGUCACACAUGCGUUUCUCCCUGGGACGGUGAUUCCCUUAUACCCAAGGUAGUCAAAAUCGCGACUUAACUCGCGAAAUCGCACACUUUUGUGAUUUUGCAACUCCUCUCCGUUUCGAUUUUAUUGUUCGAGUGACAGCAGUGUUGUUUGCGUGGAAUCGCCGAGAAAAGUCGCAAAAUCACUGGAAUAAUGAUUUUGUUGGCGAUCCCGUGUGUGAGGAAGAAUACUCAUCCAUAAGCGGUGUUCUAUUGUUCCCUAACCUAAUUUGAAAUUCACCCAAAUCCAGCCCAGCACGUAUAGAAGAAAGCUGAAAAGGAACCCCUAGAAUGGAGUAAAGUUCUUGUAAUAGGGGCAUUCUUCAAACCAAAAGCAGAGAAAAGCAAAGGCAUUACAUACAGUGCGACUGGCGCUGUCUUCCUCCUCCGUGGAGGAGGGCUAAUCGGGAGCUUGAACAGAAAAGCGAGGAAGGCGAAAGAAAAUGCAACACCAACAUCUCCUUCAUGCGGCGGUUUCACAGUGUCUCUUCAUGGAAAUUGAGUGACCCAAAACCUAGGAGGAAAUUGCGGAGUAGAUAUUCCAGAGGAAUUUUAUGGACAAUAUGCUCAACAUGCCAAAGGAGAUGGAUUUGCCAUUGGAAGGAGCUUCGUAAGCGCAGUCAUGGGAUAUUUGGGUUGCAGUGAGUGUUAUGGAUCUAGGUUGGGGAAAAACGGGUUGGAAAAGGGUGCCUGAUGGUGAUGGGGAUGAGGAUGGGUAACUUAUGUUGGGUCGGGUCCAAUUGUGGACCUGGACCUAUGUCAAUAAAAACAAAAAAAGAAAGAAAAAGGAACACUAAUAAAUUUGUUUGUU
Arachis ipaensis is the source of this 1683-nucleotide non-coding RNA. The record is from RefSeq and is a predicted model, not a curated record. NCBI's taxonomy places the organism in Eukaryota, Viridiplantae, Streptophyta, Magnoliopsida, Fabales, Fabaceae.